AUACGUAUGGGGCGAGCGUUGUCCGGAAUGAUUGGGCGUAAAGGGUACGUAGGCGGUUAAUUAAGUCGAGUGUGAAAGGUUGGGGCUCAACCCCAUAAAGCAUUCGAAACUGGUUAACUUGAGAUGUGGAGAGGAAAGUGGAAUUCCUAGUGUAGCGGGGACAUGCGUAGAUAUUAGGAGGAAUACCAGUAGGGAAGGCGACUUUAUGGACACAAUGUGACGCUGAGGUACGAAAGCGUGGGGAGAAAACAGGAUUAUAUACCCUGGUAGUCCACGCCGUAAACGAUGUAUGCUAGGUGUCGGGGGUCAAACCUCGGUGCCGCCGCUAACGCAUUAAGCAUUCCGCCUGGGGAGUACGCACGCAAGUGUGAAACUCAAAUGAAUUGACGGGG
RNAcentral lists this ribosomal RNA (392 nucleotides) under uncultured bacterium. Its description in RNAcentral is "partial 16S ribosomal RNA". It matches the Rfam family "Bacterial small subunit ribosomal RNA", at positions 523 to 918 of the family's 1533-position model. The record is from RNAcentral.